UACGAAGGGGGCGGGCGUUGUUCGGAAUUACUGGGCGUAAAGGGCGCGUAGGCGGUCCUUCAAGUCAGGCGUGAAAGCCCCGGGCUCAACCUGGGAACCGCGCUUGAGACUGGCGGACUCGAGUUCGGGAGAGGAUGGUGGAAUUCCCAGUGUAGAGGUGAAAUUCGUAGAUAUUGGGAAGAACACCGAUGGCGAAGGCAGCCAUCUGGACCGACACUGACGCUGAGGCGCGAAAGCGUGGGGAGCAAACAGG
Molecule: ribosomal RNA, 253 nt
Filed under: uncultured bacterium
Lineage: Bacteria
Description: partial 16S ribosomal RNA
Rfam family: Bacterial small subunit ribosomal RNA
Source: RNAcentral